GCCGGGGUGGCGGAAUGGUAGACGCAACGGACUUAAAAUCCGUUGGCCCUAGGGCCGUGCGGGUUCGAGUCCCGCCCCCGGUA
This 83-nucleotide transfer RNA is filed under the name Bacteroidota bacterium. RNAcentral's name for it is "Bacteroidetes bacterium tRNA-Leu". It matches the Rfam family "tRNA". Rfam says of the family: Transfer RNA (tRNA) molecules are approximately 80 nucleotides in length. Their secondary structure includes four short double-helical elements and three loops (D, anti-codon, and T loops). Lineage: Bacteria; Pseudomonadati; Bacteroidota. The record is from RNAcentral.